Molecule: ribosomal RNA, 1050 nt
Filed under: uncultured soil bacterium
Lineage: Bacteria
Description: bacterial SSU rRNA
Rfam family: Bacterial small subunit ribosomal RNA
Source: RNAcentral
AGAGUUUGAUCCUGGCUCAGGACGAACGCUGGCGGCGUGCCUAAUACAUGCAAGUCGAGCGCGGGAAGCGAGCGGAUCCCUUCGGGGUGAAGCUCGUGGAACGAGCGGCGGACGGGUGAGUAACACGUGGGCAACCUGCCUGUAAGAUCGGAAUAACCCCGGGAAACCGGGGCUAAUGCCGGGUAAUACUUUCUUUCGCAUGAAGGAAAGUUGAAAGAUGGCUUCUUGCUAUCACUUACAGAUGGGCCCGCGGCGCAUUAGCUAGUUGGUGAGGUAACGGCUCACCAAGGCGACGAUGCGUAGCCGACCUGAGAGGGUGAUCGGCCACACUGGGACUGAGACACGGCCCAGACUCCUACGGGAGGCAGCAGUAGGGAAUCUUCCGCAAUGGACGAAAGUCUGACGGAGCAACGCCGCGUGAACGAUGAAGGUCUUCGGAUCGUAAAGUUCUGUUGUUAGGGAAGAACAAGUACCGUGCGAAUAGAGCGGCACCUUGACGGUACCUAACGAGGAAGCCCCGGCUAACUACGUGCCAGCAGCCGCGGUAAUACGUAGGGGGCAAGCGUUGUCCGGAAUUAUUGGGCGUAAAGCGCGCGCAGGCGGUUCCUUAAGUCUGAUGUGAAAGCCCACGGCUCAACCGUGGAGGGUCAUUGGAAACUGGGGAACUUGAGGACAGAAGAGGAGAGUGGAAUUCCACGUGUAGCGGUGAAAUGCGUAGAUAUGUGGAGGAACACCAGUGGCGAAGGCGACUCUCUGGUCUGUUUCUGACGCUGAGGUGCGAAAGCGUGGGUAGCAAACAGGAUUAGAUACCCUGGUAGUCCACGCCGUAAACGAUGAGUGCUAGGUGUUAAGGGGCUUCCACCCCUUAGUGCUGAAGUUAACGCAUUUAAGCACUCCGCCUGGGGAGUACGGGCGCAAGGCUUGAAACUCAAAGGAAUUGACGGGGGCCCGCACAAGCGGUGGAAGCUUGUGGUUUAAUUCGAAGCAACGCGAAGAACCUUACCAGGUCUUGACAUCCUUGGACAAUCCUAGAGAUAGACUUCCUUCAGG